AACUUAAAUGAAUUGACGGGGAGCACCACAACGGGUGAGCUUGCGGUUUAAUUGGAUUCAACGCGGAAAUCUUACCGGGACCGACAGCAAUAUGAAGGCCAGGCUGAAGACUUUGCCGGAUUAGCUGAGAGGUGGUGCAUGGCCGUCGUCAGUUCGUACUGUGAAGCAUCCUGUUAAGUCAGGCAACGAGCGAGACCCACGCCCACAGUUGCCAGCGUACUCUCUGGAGUGACGGGUACACUGUGGGGACCGCCGCUGCUAAAGCGGAGGAAGGAAUGGGCAACGGUAGGUCAGUAUGCCCCGAAUAUCCCGGGCUACACGCGAGCUACAAUGGUUGGUACAAUGGGUAUCUACCCCGAAAGGGGACGGGAAUCUCCUAAAACCAAUCUUAGUUCGGAUUGAGGGCUGCAACUCGCCCUCAUGAAGCUGGAAUCUGUAGUAAUCGUGUCUCAAAAUGGCACGGUGAAUAUGUCCCUGCUCCUU
This 483-nucleotide ribosomal RNA is filed under the name uncultured Methanosaeta sp. Its description in RNAcentral is "bacterial SSU rRNA". It matches the Rfam family "Archaeal small subunit ribosomal RNA", at positions 853 to 1338 of the family's 1478-position model. Lineage: Archaea; Methanobacteriati; Methanobacteriota; Methanomicrobia; Methanotrichales; Methanotrichaceae. The record is from RNAcentral.